GCAGUCAUUGCGCAGGCACUUUGGUGACUCUAGAUAACCUUGGGCCAAUCACACGUCCGCGUGACGGCAAUGACGCAUUCGGAUGUCUGCCAUAUCAACUUUCAAAGGUACUUUCUGUGCUUACCAUGGUGACCACGGGUAAAGGGGAAUCAGGGUUCGAUUCCAGAGAGGGAGCCUGAGAAACGGCUACAACAUCAAAGGAAGGCAGCAGGCACGCAAAUUACCCACUUCCGACGCAGGGAGGUAGUGAC
Pelobates cultripes (western spadefoot toad) is the source of this 251-nucleotide non-coding RNA. The record is from the annotation of a GenBank genome assembly. NCBI's taxonomy places the organism in Eukaryota, Metazoa, Chordata, Amphibia, Anura, Pelobatidae.